RNAcentral lists this ribosomal RNA (492 nucleotides) under uncultured bacterium. RNAcentral's name for it is "partial 16S ribosomal RNA". It matches the Rfam family "Bacterial small subunit ribosomal RNA", at positions 29 to 507 of the family's 1533-position model. The record is from RNAcentral.
AUUGAACGCUGGCGGCAUGCUUUACACAUGCAAGUCGAACGGUAACAGGCCUUCGGGUGCUGACGAGUGGCGAACGGGUGAGUAAUGCAUCGGAACGUACCCAGAGGUGGGGGAUAACGCAGCGAAAGCUGUGCUAAUACCGCAUGUGAUCUGAGGAUGAAAGCGGGGGACCGAGCAGCAAUGUUUGGCCUCGCGCCUUUGGAGCGGCCGAUGUCGGAUUAGCUAGUUGGUGGGGUAAAGGCCUACCAAGGCGACGAUCCGUAGCUGGUCUGAGAGGACGACCAGCCACACUGGGACUGAGACACGGCCCAGACUCCUACGGGAGGCAGCAGUGGGGAAUUUUGGACAGUGGGCGCAAGCCUGAUCCAGCAAUGCCGCGUGCGGGAAGAAGGCCUUCGGGUUGUAAACCGCUUUUGGCAGGAACGAAACGGUGUCCGCUAAUACCGGGCGCUAAUGACGGUACCUGCAGAAUAAGCACCGGCUAACUACGUG